Molecule: long non-coding RNA, 242 nt
Filed under: Phoenix dactylifera (date palm)
Lineage: Eukaryota; Viridiplantae; Streptophyta; Magnoliopsida; Arecales; Arecaceae
Description: long non-coding RNA (PDAC_LNC020532)
Source: RNAcentral
GUACCUCUCCUUCUAUUGCCGCCGAAUUUAACCGAGGAAUCGGCCUCCGAGUCGCGCGCCAAAUCCAUGCAAUAAAACCUAAAACUCGGCGAUCCGAGCGGUUCCUCAUCCGCCGCGAAAGACCGCAACUUCUUCCCCUUCUCGUCGUCCUCCUCCUGCCCCCUGAAUCCUAACCCCCUCUUCUCCUCCUCUUCCUCCUUCUCCAGCACAGCCGUUGCCGCCGCCGCCCCGGUCUCCUUCUC